GAAAAACUAGUUAAUUAAUAACAUAAGAUUGUCAAUCUUAAAUUACCUUUGUGUUUUUUU
RNAcentral lists this transfer RNA (60 nucleotides) under Carios vespertilionis. RNAcentral's name for it is "tRNA-Asp". Lineage: Eukaryota; Metazoa; Arthropoda; Arachnida; Ixodida; Argasidae. The record is from RNAcentral.